UACGGAGGGAGCAAACGUUGUUCGGAUUUACUGGGCGUAAAGGGAGUCUAGGCGGCUUGGUAAGUCAGGGGUGAAAUCCCGCGGCUCAACCGCGGAGUUGCCUUUGAUACUGCCGAGCUUGAGGCCGUGAGAGGAGACUGGAAUUCCCAGUGUAGCGGUGAAAUGCAUAGAUAUUGGGAAGAACACCAGUGGCGAAGGCGAGUCUCUGGCACGGAUCUGACGCUGAAGCUCGAAAGCUAGGGGAGCAAAC
RNAcentral lists this ribosomal RNA (250 nucleotides) under uncultured bacterium. RNAcentral's name for it is "partial 16S ribosomal RNA". It matches the Rfam family "Bacterial small subunit ribosomal RNA", at positions 524 to 773 of the family's 1533-position model. The record is from RNAcentral.